This 376-nucleotide transfer-messenger RNA is filed under the name Gammaproteobacteria bacterium. It matches the Rfam family "transfer-messenger RNA". Rfam says of the family: Bacterial tmRNA, also known as 10Sa RNA or SsrA, is named for its dual tRNA and mRNA-like properties. Its role is to liberate the mRNA from a stalled ribosome. To accomplish this part of the tmRNA is used as a reading frame that ends in a translation stop signal. RNAcentral also lists the same sequence under 1 other name. The record is from RNAcentral. Lineage: Bacteria; Pseudomonadati; Pseudomonadota; Gammaproteobacteria.
GGGGGCGACACGGCAUUCGACGUGGAUUACAAAACCUGAGGUGCAUGUCGAGGAACAGAUUACCUCGUAAAUCCAGCUGUAAACUUAUAGUUGCCAACGACGACAACUACGCACUCGCUGCUUAAUACCCAGUAGGGUGCCGUCUGAGCGGAGCCGUGCUUAUGCGUCCGUAGCUCUUUGAGCCCAUCAGGCGUCGAUUCUCAUGAGAUCGCGUUGCGGUUUGUUCAGGGCCAAUGCGUUAAAACUUUACUGAAAUCGCUGUUUGUAGGCCCUGUCGGUCGGGUUGCAGGCAGUUAAAUUUAAUAGAUUGACUAAACAUGUAGGACCAAAGGCAGAGGAUUUGCGGACGCGGGUUCAACUCCCGCCGCCUCCACCA